This 72-nucleotide transfer RNA is filed under the name Caudoviricetes sp. RNAcentral describes it as "tRNA-Arg". It matches the Rfam family "tRNA". From Rfam's summary of the family: Transfer RNA (tRNA) molecules are approximately 80 nucleotides in length. Their secondary structure includes four short double-helical elements and three loops (D, anti-codon, and T loops). The record is from RNAcentral. Lineage: Duplodnaviria; Heunggongvirae; Uroviricota; Caudoviricetes.
GGUUCUAUAGUUUAAUUGGAAAAACUUCAGAAUACGAAUCUGAGAACGAGGGUUCGAAUCCUUCUAGAACCU